This is an RNA transcript of Epinephelus fuscoguttatus (brown-marbled grouper), 3519 nucleotides long. It is a transcript of the gene named afadin- and alpha-actinin-binding protein-like, with no coding region annotated. NCBI's taxonomy places the organism in Eukaryota, Metazoa, Chordata, Actinopteri, Perciformes, Serranidae. The transcript has 17 exons. The record is from RefSeq and is a predicted model, not a curated record.
GGUGUGUGUCCUGUCAUUCGGACCGACAUGGAUUUAGGAGCUGCCGCAUCGUAAAGGAAGAAGCAGUUGAGAAAUAUAUCACAAACCGCAACGAUAAGAACACUGACUACGUAGGUGGAUCUUGUGGCGAGCUUUGUGUGUCCUGCACAUGUAGAAGACGAUCCAGACACGUAGCCUGAAGGCUGCACUGCAACAAUGCCAGAGUCCUCCCUGGAAGUCAAGGACAUUUGCAGCAGCUCCGUCGAAUGUAGACCAUCUCCCUUGAGGCAGUUUAGCCAAUCAUCGUUGCCACUGCACAGAAACUACAUGCACGGUACCUUCUGCACGGAGCAGAACGUGCAGGAAUGUCUUUCAUACAUCAAUCAGGAGGUGUCCUCACUUGGCCUCCCACCAGUUUGUACGGAGUCGAGCGGCAGCUCAGAGAUGAAUGUUGUGGCUGUGCUAAAUUGCAUGUACGACCUGAUUCAGCUGCACCGCAGGGGCCUCCGGACCCUGGAAAACAUGGAAGUGGAGCAGCUUAAGUCCAGCAGCAAUGUGGACUUCCUGCAGCUCACUAGCACCCAACUAAAAGAACAGCUAGAACAGUCCAAAAGAGAAAACACAGGACUCCUUGAGAAAGAACGACAGCUGCAGUUGAAAUUGAAGAGUUUGCAAAACUGCCUGAAAAAUGAAAAAGAGGAGGUGCAAAAACUUCAGAACAUAAUUGCCAGCCGGGCCAGCCAGUACAAUCAUGAGAUGAAAAGAAAAGAAAGAGAGUUUAACAAACUGAAGGAGCGCUUGAAUCAACUUCUGGUUGACAAAAAGGAGAAAAAACAAGCCAUUGAUGUAUUAAACAACAUUGGAAGAGCUGACGGGAAGAGAAGCCUUUGGAAAACUGAAAAGACAGAAGCAAAGCAUGAGGGGGAGAUGUAUAAGACUCUGCUGAGUGACUAUGAUACCCGACAGAGGGAGCUAUUGCUGGAAAAUUCAGAGUUGAAGAAAGUGUUGCAGCAGAUGAAAAAAGACAUGGUGUCCAUUCUGAGUUCAAGGAAACAAACGCUGAAAGAUGACAAACAUCAGGAUGAUGACAUGCAGGCUUGCUCAGAGGAGGAAGAGGAAGUGUUUGAUUCCAGCAAAGGAAGCGUGGAGCUAUAUUGUGUUCACGCCCGGGAGAAGCUGACCAACAGUAUUCGUCUCCAGUGGAGAAGACUCAAGAGCCACGUUGAAAGAUUGGACAGCCAAGCGUCUUUGGCUCAGACUGGCGAGAGUAAGAACACUGAUGCUGUUUCCCGAGAGACUCAUGAGGAGGAGAUGGACAGACUGAAGCUGGAGAUCCAGCAGUGCAAAGACUUCAUUCAAGCACAACAGCAGCUCCUGCAGCAGCAGCUGAGCUCUCCAUGUGACGAGGAGACAGCAUCCCUGCUGAGCGACUGCUUCAUGCUGCAGGAGAAAGAGCGCUUCAGAGAGGAGUGGAAGAUCCUCGAGGAACAGAGGAAGAUCUUUGAGAGGGAGAGGAGAAACUUCACUGAAGCUGCUAUAAGACUCAGCCAUGAGAGAAAGGCCUUUGAGGAUGACCGGGCAACGUGGCUCAAACACCAGUUUCUAAACAUGAGUCCAUUUCCUGAGUCAAAGAAACCCCAGAUGUCAAAGUCUAAAAGUGCCUUUUUAAUAUCUAAAACAGAAACGAUUGAAGCAUCAGCUCCAGAAAAGCUCAUCAAAUGUCCGUCUGACACAUCCUCCCCCACACUCCGAUGUGUCCCACUCACAUCACCAUCAGCAGCCAACCUGUAUCGCACACUUUGCCUUAUCCCAGAAAACAGUUCCAGAUCAACCAAACCAAAGAGAAAGACUGAACAUGUCGAAGAGUCGAGCGUCUUUUCAAAUGGAAAUGUUCCAGCUCAGGACAAACUGUGGGACAACUGUGAAGACGACAACAGCCACACACUCACAAGAGAAAAGACCAGCUCUAUAUAAAGCCAAAAAUGUUCAUAAUUUAAUCAGCAUUCUUGUUAAUUAAUAUGGAUGAGUUAUGGUAUUUUAGAAAUAGACCUGAAAUGUGAAUGCCAAACAUUCAUAGAUAGAUUGUAAACUGAUUGAAUAACAGUGGAAGUCAAACAAGAGUUCCGGUUAGGUGCUGGUAUUCUGUGCUCUGUGUGACUGAGAGAAAAUCUAAUAGUUCAUUUUUUUAUUAUCGCACUGUUUUUUUUUUUGUUUUUUUUUUAGAUUAUGUGAUAAAUGUAUUUAUUAAUUUUUGUGAUGGUGUAAAUCUUGUUUUGGCAAUGAUUUUUUAUGUCUAGGAUCUUAGUCUGAGGCUAGUAUUUUUUGGCAGUGCAGGUGUGCCACAACAGAUCCUAUGCUCCAGUAAUGAGAUGUUGCUCAGCCCUCAUCAAUGGACGCUGUUGCACCUGAACUUGCCUAAAUGUAUAUCACAGCUUUUUCAACUUCUGUUAUCAUGUUGAACUUGUCAACUGACUCAUUGAUUUAGAAUAUAGAUUUAAUGCUGCUUUUUCACUCAAUGUAAUAAGAAACUGGGUAAAAUAUGAAGUAUUUUUCUAUAGUUUGAUAAAGAAAUGUGGUUGACAACAUUGUUAUUUAGUAACUGUAGCAGGUACUUCAGUAGCAGGUUAAUGUAGGAUGUUGCAGUUCAACAGGGAGAAAGGCUGUAAACAUAAGAUAAAUAAUAUAACGUGAAAUAGAGCAGUGACACUGAGGCUACACUUUGUUUAUUUUAGUGGCUUUAUAUUGGCAAAUUAGAACAACUCUUACCACAUGAAUGUGACACGAUGUAUUCUAGACAAUCUUAUAUUCUCAAAACAUUCAUUAUACUUGUUUGAAACACAAGUUUUUUGUCCUUUGACCUUUACUGGCCUCUAUUGGAAAUGAGUUAGUGAUCAACAGAACUGGUUCACCCGUCCCUUCCCAUGCACAGCGUGAUUUUGCCAUGUCGGACAUGGUCCUGGAAUAACACCCCAUAUUACAUUCCUGGACCAAUAUUGCAAAUAAUCAAUCACAGCCUUCUGACAUCAUCACUGUGCUGUUCAGCAGAGCUAAUUUAGUUUUUCAAAACUGAAGUUAGUACAACUUUUUUACAGAAUCCAAAACUUAUGUACACUUCACUUUCGCUUCCUGUCUGUCCACUGUGUCUCUUUCAAAUGAGAAAUGGCAAAUCUACGAAUUGGGAAGCAGCCGGGCAGGCAGCGCAGCACGGGCUCAACAGAGAAGCAUUUGGAUUCCUGGCCAUGGAUGUUAACCUGCCUCUCCAGCUUCACGGAUUCAAGUUUCAUACGGCACUCUGUCUCUGCUGGCAGAACCCAGGAAUGAGCAAAGCUGACUGCGCUCUUGGUCACGUGUCCACUGGGUGUGCGGUACUCCUGUCUGACUUCCCCAUCAGCCUUUCCACAGAGUCCACAGACUCACCAAUGGGCACGCAGUGGUAGCCGACAGUGACGGUGGUGGUUCUCACUGGCAGGCAGCCGGGCAGGCAGCGCAUCACGGGCUCAACAGAGUAGCAUUUGGACUCCUGGCCUUGAAGGAUCACCU